This 1397-nucleotide ribosomal RNA is filed under the name Actinorectispora indica. RNAcentral describes it as "Actinosynnemataceae bacterium YIM 75728 16S ribosomal RNA". It matches the Rfam family "Bacterial small subunit ribosomal RNA". Lineage: Bacteria; Bacillati; Actinomycetota; Actinomycetes; Pseudonocardiales; Pseudonocardiaceae. The record is from RNAcentral.
CAUGCAAGUCGAGCGGUAAGGCCCUUCGGGGUACACGAGCGGCGAACGGGUGAGUAACACGUGGGUAACCUGCCCUAUACUCUGGGAUAAGCCUGGGAAACUAGGUCUAAUACCGGAUACGACACUGAGACGCAUGUUUCGGUGUGGAAAGUUCCGGCGGUAUGGGAUGGACCCGCGGCCUAUCAGCUUGUUGGUGGGGUAAUGGCCUACCAAGGCGACGACGGGUAGCCGGCCUGAGAGGGCGACCGGCCACACUGGGACUGAGACACGGCCCAGACUCCUACGGGAGGCAGCAGUGGGGAAUAUUGCACAAUGGGCGAAAGCCUGAUGCAGCGACGCCGCGUGAGGGAUGACGGCCUUCGGGUGUAACCUCUUUCAGCAGGGACGAAGCAGCAAGUGACGGUACUGCAGAGAAGCCCGCCUAACUACGUGACCAGCAGCCGCGGUAAUACGUAGGGUGCGAGCGUGUCCGAUAUUGGGCGUAAAGAGCUCGUAGGCGGUUGUUGCGUCGACCGUGAAAACCUGGGGCUUAACCCUGGGCUUGCGGUCGAUACGGGCAGACUUGAGUUCGGCAGGGGAGACUGGAAUUCUGGUGUAGCGGUGAAAUGCGCAGAUAUCAGGAGGAACACCGGUGGCGAAGGCGGGUCUCUGGGCCGAUACUGACGCUGAGGAGCGAAAGCGUGGGGAGCGAACAGGAUUAGAUACCCUGGUAGUCCACGCCGUAAACGGUGGGUGCUAGGUGUGGGGGACUUCCACGUCCUCCGUGCCGCAGCUAACGCAUUAAGCACCCCGCCUGGGGAGUACGGCCGCAAGGCUAAAACUCAAAGGAAUUGACGGGGGCCCGCACAAGCGGCGGAGCAUGUGGAUUAAUUCGAUGCAACGCGAAGAACCUUACCUGGGUUUGACAUGCACAGGAAACCUAUAGAGAUAUAGGCCCCCUUGUGGUCUGGCACCAGGUGGUGCAUGGCUGUCGUCAGCUCGUGUCGUGAGAUGUUGGGUUAAGUCCCGCACGAGCGCAACCCUCGUUCCAUGUUGCCAGCACGUAAUGGUGGGGACUCAUGGGGAGACUGCCGGGGUCACUCGGAGGAAGGUGGGGGAUGAAGUCAAGUCAUCAUGCCCCUUAUGUCCAGGGCUUCACACAUGCUACAAUGGCCGGUACAAUGGGCUGCUAAACCGUGAGGUGGAGCGAAUCCCAUAAAGCCGGUCUCAGUUCGGAUCGGGGUCUGCAACUCGACCCCGUGAAGUCGGAGUCGCUAGUAAUCGCAGAUCAGCAACGCUGCGGUGAAUACGUUCCCGGGCCUUGUACACACCGCCCGUCACGUCACGAAAGUCGGUAACACCCGAAGCCGGUGGCCUAACCCGUAAGGGGAGGAGCUGUCGACGGGGCGACUGGCGAC